GAGCAAUGAUGACAUGCCUCGAUGAUGGUUGGGUCCAUCAUAUCCUCCUGAAUUCUACAGGUUGACACUACAGGCCCUUCUGAGCUC
Erigeron canadensis is the source of this 87-nucleotide small nucleolar RNA. RefSeq annotates it as small nucleolar RNA snoR114. The transcript has a single exon. The record is from RefSeq and is a predicted model, not a curated record. Lineage: Eukaryota; Viridiplantae; Streptophyta; Magnoliopsida; Asterales; Asteraceae.